RNAcentral lists this unclassified non-coding RNA (348 nucleotides) under Hevea brasiliensis (rubber tree). Lineage: Eukaryota; Viridiplantae; Streptophyta; Magnoliopsida; Malpighiales; Euphorbiaceae. The record is from RNAcentral.
GCAAAACGUUGCGAAGCAUUUUAACGUUUGCCUCGCAGUUCUCGAUCUCGGUGGAUCGAUUGGUCCAUGUGACAUAAAAAAGAUGAGUCACAUCAGCGAGCUGCGAGAGUUUGGCUUCGGCGUCUUCCGGAUCGGAGAUAUCGCAUUGAAUGUAUUCGAUGGGAUGGUCGGCGUUCCAGCUUGGCCUCGGCCUCCGAGCAACGCCGUAGACCUUCCAUGGACCGCCGGGGGUAUCGGAAAGAGGAAGAAUCUCGGCGAGACUGUUGCCGACGAUACCAGUAACGCCAAUCACCAGGGCUACGCUCUCAAAGCUCCUCGGAGGUUCAUCUUCUUCAAACUUUUUCUUAG